This 250-nucleotide unclassified non-coding RNA is filed under the name plant metagenome. Its description in RNAcentral is "partial contains small subunit ribosomal RNA, internal transcribed spacer 1, and 5.8S ribosomal RNA". The record is from RNAcentral.
GUAGGUGAACCUGCGGAAGGAUCAUUAAUGAGUUAGGGUCCUAUGGGCCCGACCUCCAACCCUUUGUCUACAUUACCUCUUGUUGCUUCGGUGGGCCCGUCCCCUCUAGAAAUAGAGGACGACUGCCGGAGGGUGACCGCCCUCUGGCCCGCGCCCACCGAUGGCCCCAACCCAAAACUCUUGUUUAAUCAUGAAUUGUCUGACUGAAAAAAAAAAUAACCAAAAACUUUCAACAACGGAUCUCUUGGUU